GGUUCAUUGUUGGUUUUUCCUGUCUCCCUCCAUGUCAGUCACGUUUUAAAGGUCCCUGAUCCUCUGCAACCAUGAUCAAAUUGCUUCAAUCCGACUCAGGGAUUUGUUUGCCGCAACAAGGACCAGAGAAAGGGCAUGUGCCGUGACUACAAAGUUCGCUUUGGGUGCCCGUGCAAGAAAUAAGCUGCGACUCCACAGCAAACAUCCAACAAGAAUAUGAAGCUUUGAUUGCUUUAAAUGUUGUCCUUUUCUCUUUACCUUUCUAUUUGAUAUCUUACUUUGCCUGAUGGAAGAAGUUCAAUAGACCUUUUUUACGGCAGACAUGUUGACUUGUAGCAGGAACAGGACCAUGAAGCCUUAUCAGCUGAUUAAAACUGAGCUUUAUAUCGGAGUAUGUUUUACGUUUACCAACAUGUCUUCUGAGUUAAAAUGCCUCAUGUCAUGUGCUUUAUUAGUUUUCUUUUCUUUUUCUAGUGAUUAUGAAAUCAUUGUCUUGUAAUGUAGGAAAUAAAUCCACAUCAAACGGCAAUAAAACUGCUAUUAAUGAGCAAA
Molecule: long non-coding RNA, 552 nt
Organism: Trematomus bernacchii (emerald rockcod)
Lineage: Eukaryota; Metazoa; Chordata; Actinopteri; Perciformes; Nototheniidae
Exons: 3
Source: RefSeq, a predicted model, not a curated record